AAACGACUCUCGGCAACGGAUAUCUCGGCUCUCGCAUCGAUGAAGAACGUAGCGAAAUGCGAUACUUGGUGUGAAUUGCAGAAUCCCGUGAACCAUCGAGUUUUUGAACGCAAGUUGCGCCCGAAGCCUUUUGGCCAGGGCACGUCUGCCUGGGCGUCACGC
This 162-nucleotide ribosomal RNA is filed under the name Iresine latifolia. RNAcentral's name for it is "5.8S ribosomal RNA". It matches the Rfam family "5.8S ribosomal RNA". From Rfam's summary of the family: 5.8S ribosomal RNA (5.8S rRNA) is a component of the large subunit of the eukaryotic ribosome. It is transcribed by RNA polymerase I as part of the 45S precursor that also contains 18S and 28S rRNA. Functionally, it is thought that 5.8S rRNA may be involved in ribosome translocation. Lineage: Eukaryota; Viridiplantae; Streptophyta; Magnoliopsida; Caryophyllales; Amaranthaceae. The record is from RNAcentral.